UACGUAGGGGGCAAGCGUUGUCCGGAUUUAUUGGGCGUAAAGAGCGUGUAGGCGGCCAGGUAGGUCGGUUGUGAAAACUCGAGGCUCAACCUCGAGAUGUCGACCGAAACCAUCUGGCUAGAGUCCGGAAGAGGAGAAUGGAAUUCCCGGUGUAGCGGUGAAAUGCGCAGAUAUCGGGAAGAACACCCGUGGCGAAGGCGGUUCUCUGGGACGGUACUGACGCUGAGACGCGAAAGCGUGGGGAUCGAACAGG
RNAcentral lists this ribosomal RNA (253 nucleotides) under uncultured bacterium. RNAcentral describes it as "partial 16S ribosomal RNA". It matches the Rfam family "Bacterial small subunit ribosomal RNA", at positions 524 to 776 of the family's 1533-position model. The record is from RNAcentral.